CUCUGGGACGCGUGAGAGACGUUCCUCGAGCCGAAUUUUGUCGGGAGGACCCGGCAACGGACAGUCAAAAAGAUCUGACUGUGACUUUGGAGGUCGAGUUCGGCUGCCUAUUUAAGUAUAGGCACGGACAAGUGUGCUUAGAUGUGUUAGUGUCUGUUGUCUGUAUUCUGUUUCUGUGUUUGGUAUCCCGGAAGCAGCUAAGGUUAAGCUGCAGUUUGGGCCAGGUACUGAAGGUACCAGGCAUCUGUG
RNAcentral lists this long non-coding RNA (249 nucleotides) under Rattus norvegicus (Norway rat). Its description in RNAcentral is "long non-coding RNA NONRATT024347". The record is from RNAcentral. Lineage: Eukaryota; Metazoa; Chordata; Mammalia; Rodentia; Muridae.